Molecule: ribosomal RNA, 388 nt
Filed under: uncultured bacterium
Lineage: Bacteria
Description: bacterial SSU rRNA
Rfam family: Bacterial small subunit ribosomal RNA
Source: RNAcentral
AUUGAACGCUGGCGGCAUGCCUUACACAUGCAAGUCGAACGGUAACGGGCCUUCGGGUGCCGACGAGUGGCGAACGGGUGAGUAAUGCAUCGGAACGUACCUUUCAGUGGGGGAUAACGUAGCGAAAGUUACGCUAAUACCGCAUAUUCUGUGAGCAGGAAAGCAGGGGAUCGCAAGACCUUGCGCCGAUUGAGCGGCCGAUGUCAGAUUAGCUAGUUGGUGAGGUAAAGGCUCACCAAGGCGACGAUCUGUAGCGGGUCUGAGAGGAUGAUCCGCCACACUGGAACUGAGACACGGUCCAGACUCCUACGGGAGGCAGCAGUGGGGAAUUUUGGGACAAAUGGGGGCAACCCUGAUCCAGCCAUGCCGCGUGAGUGAAGAAGGCCUC